This 493-nucleotide ribosomal RNA is filed under the name uncultured bacterium. RNAcentral's name for it is "bacterial SSU rRNA". It matches the Rfam family "Bacterial small subunit ribosomal RNA", at positions 791 to 1283 of the family's 1533-position model. The record is from RNAcentral.
UAGUCCACGCUGUAAACGAUGAUUACUAGAUGUUCGGACUUCGGUCUGAGUGUCCAAGCGAAAGCGAUAAGUAAUCCACCUGGGGAGUACGUUCGCAAGAAUGAAACUCAAAGGAAUUGACGGGGGCCCGCACAAGCGGUGGAGCAUGUGGCUUAAUUCGAGGCAACGCGAAGAACCUUAUCCUGGAUUUGACAUGUAUGGAUUAACUCUAUGAAAGUAGAGCCACGCCUUCGGGUGGAACAUACACAGGUGCUGCAUGGCUGUCGUCAGCUCGUACCGUGAGGUGUUGGGUUAAGUCCCGCAACGAGCGCAACCCCUAUUGCUAGUUGCCAGCAUUAAGUUGGGGACUCUAGCAAGACUGCCGGCGUAAGCCGCGAGGAAGGUGGGGACGACGUCAAAUCAUCAUGGCCUUUAUGCCUAGGGCGACACACGUGCUACAAUGGUGCAUACAGAGGGUAGCGAAGCCGCGAGGUGGAGCCAAUCUCAGAAAGUG